ACGAACGCUGGCGGCAUGCCUAACACAUGCAAGUCGAACGAGACCUUCGGGUCUAGUGGCGCACGGGUGCGUAACGCGUGGGAACCUGCCCUUAGGUUCGGAAUAACUCCCCGAAAGGGGUGCUAAUACCGGAUAAUGUCUUCGGACCAAAGAUUUAUCGCCUUUGGAUGGGCCCGCGUUGGAUUAGCUAGUUGGUAGGGUAAAAGCCUACCAAGGCGACGAUCCAUAGCUGGUCUGAGAGGAUGAUCAGCCACACUGGGACUGAGACACGGCCCAGACUCCUACGGGAGGCAGCAGUGGGGAAUAUUGGACAAUGGGCGAAGGCCUGAUCCAGCAAUGCCGCGUGAGUGAUGAAGGCCUUAGGGUUGUAAAGCUCUUUUACCCGGGAUGAUAAUGACAGUACCGGGAGAAUAAGCUCCGGCUAACUCCGUG
Molecule: ribosomal RNA, 432 nt
Filed under: uncultured bacterium
Lineage: Bacteria
Description: partial 16S ribosomal RNA
Rfam family: Bacterial small subunit ribosomal RNA
Source: RNAcentral